UUAAGUUCAGCGGGUAGUCCUACCUGAUUUGAGGUCACAUUAAUGAAAAUUUGUCCAAGUCAAUGGACUGUUGGAAGCUGAACUGCUUCACGUCAAUAGCGUAGAUAGUUAUCACACCAAUGAACGGUCCACAAAUUGUUCCGCUAAUAUAUUUCAGGGGAGCUGACCUCAGAGAAGAAGCCAGCAAAAAAUGACCCCCA
RNAcentral lists this unclassified non-coding RNA (200 nucleotides) under uncultured Cortinarius. Its description in RNAcentral is "sequence contains ITS2". Lineage: Eukaryota; Fungi; Basidiomycota; Agaricomycetes; Agaricales; Cortinariaceae. The record is from RNAcentral.